GAUUUCUGGAAGAACUCUACAACUCAAAGCAAAUGAGUUAUAAAGUACGUAUAUGGUUUAUUUCAGCGCUGGGCACAUGGCAGGAUAGCUCCCAAAGGCAUGUGCGCCCCAACAUGGCAACUUGCCUUGGUUCUAUGCAGUAAAGAGUUACAUAUGCAUGAAGUUUCCCAAUAUGCCUAUGCAUACGCAUAACCUAUCCCUGCUUUGUAUUAAAAUUAGCUGCAAGUCAGUUCCAUAAACUCCUGUCUGUGCUUGCGCAGUGCCUUCUGGUGGUGGUUGUCAGGGGGGUUGUGUGGAUGAAAGCUGAUAACUUCUUCAUCACCAGUUGCUGACUCAGCUGCUCCUUGGUUCUUGUCCAAAUCACAAAGUUGGUCUCAGCUGGUUUUAUGAGACAGGUUCCCCAUUUUUGUCAGGAAACUGUCCUCUGUCAGGGGCUUCGACACUCCUUGUUUCGGUUAAUUUGUACAGUAGUAAGCUAAGACACCCAACAUCUAUUUUAAUGCGGUUAAGCAAGCCCCCAUUCUUACAUUCCUGGCUUUAAUAAUGAUUGUUUUAUUUAGAAAUCGUUAAUGUGAUUAAACAAGCCCCCAUUGUUCUAUCCCUGGCUUCAGUGGCACCCUCUGGGUCAGGCUGAUCACCACACAACACAGCUCAGGCGGCUUCUCUGUGCCAAGAUGGCUGUCAGUCACACCCCAAAGCUGGUGUGGUGAAACUGAAAAGAAACCACUCUCUUCAGGUUCCUUCCUAAAAGCGAAAUGUUUAUUAAUUCUCUAAGUUUGCAAAAGAAGACCACAUCCAUCUGAAGCUUGCUUAUGUGGAAGCAGAGCUGGCCAGGCCAAGACAGCUUGAGAGGAGCUUCCCAUGGCCUCAGGGGUGAUGAGCACUGCUUGUUGCAGCUGAGGAGGCUGCAUCAGCAACACCAACCUGGGAAGUGGGGACCUGCCUGGAGCGAUGCGGUGAGGCAUUCUGAAAGGAGCAUUAAUCUUGCCUGGAAGGGCCGACCUGCUGGCAGCCGAUUCAUCAGCAACACUCCCUGGAAGCUGCUGGCCCACACUUUCUGUCAGUGGUGGGUGGCAAGGUCAUUUCCAUGGAGCUACUGA
This 1100-nucleotide long non-coding RNA is filed under the name Anas zonorhyncha (Eastern spot-billed duck). RNAcentral's name for it is "lncRNA (ENSAZOG00000013676.1)". Lineage: Eukaryota; Metazoa; Chordata; Aves; Anseriformes; Anatidae. The record is from RNAcentral.